CCUACGGGUGGCAGCAGUGGGGAAUAUUGGACAAUGGGCGCAAGCCUGAUCCAGCCAUGCCGCGUGAGUGAUGAAGGCCCUAGGGUUGUAAAGCUCUUUUGUACGGGAAGAUAAUGACGGUACCGUAAGAAUAAGCCCCGGCUAACUUCGUGCCAGCAGCCGCGGUAAUACGAAGGGGGCUAGCGUUGCUCGGAAUCACUGGGCGUAAAGGGUGCGUAGGCGGGUUUUUAAGUCAGAGGUGAAAUCCUGGAGCUCAACUCCAGAACUGCCUUUGAUACUGAAAGUCUUGAGUAUGGGAGAGGUGAGUGGAACUGCGAGUGUAGAGGUGAAAUUCGUAGAUAUUCGCAAGAACACCAGUGGCGAAGGCGGCUCACUGGCCCAUAACUGACGCUGAGGCACGAAAGCGUGGGGAGCAAACAGGAUUAGAUACCCCAGUAGUC
RNAcentral lists this ribosomal RNA (440 nucleotides) under uncultured bacterium. RNAcentral's name for it is "bacterial SSU rRNA". It matches the Rfam family "Bacterial small subunit ribosomal RNA", at positions 338 to 795 of the family's 1533-position model. The record is from RNAcentral.